CUAGGACUGAGUCCUCC
This 17-nucleotide unclassified non-coding RNA is filed under the name Mus musculus (house mouse). RNAcentral describes it as "oocyte_clustered_small_RNA12458". The record is from RNAcentral. Lineage: Eukaryota; Metazoa; Chordata; Mammalia; Rodentia; Muridae.